RNAcentral lists this transfer RNA (74 nucleotides) under Pseudomonadota bacterium. RNAcentral's name for it is "tRNA-Cys". It matches the Rfam family "tRNA". Rfam says of the family: Transfer RNA (tRNA) molecules are approximately 80 nucleotides in length. Their secondary structure includes four short double-helical elements and three loops (D, anti-codon, and T loops). Further hydrogen bonds mediate the characteristic L-shaped molecular structure. tRNAs have two regions of fundamental functional importance: the anti-codon, which is responsible for specific mRNA codon recognition, and the 3' end, to which the tRNAs corresponding amino acid is attached (by aminoacyl-tRNA synthetases). tRNAs cope with the degeneracy of the genetic code in two manners: having more than one tRNA (with a specific anti-codon) for a particular amino acid; and 'wobble' base-pairing, i.e. permitting non-standard base-pairing at the 3rd anti-codon position. Lineage: Bacteria; Pseudomonadati; Pseudomonadota. RNAcentral also lists the same sequence under 1 other name. The record is from RNAcentral.
GGCCGCGUGGCGGAGUGGUGACGCAGCGGAUUGCAAAUCCGUGUACCCCGGUUCGAUUCCGGGCGCGGCCUCCA